Molecule: long non-coding RNA, 225 nt
Filed under: Panax ginseng (ginseng)
Lineage: Eukaryota; Viridiplantae; Streptophyta; Magnoliopsida; Apiales; Araliaceae
Description: long non-coding RNA (PGIN_LNC011403)
Source: RNAcentral
UCUAAUUCAUGACGUAACAAACUCUAAAUCUCUAAUUUAAUGACAAAAUUAAGCACAAAAUCUCUAAUUCAAAUAUUAACAUAUAUGAAAAAGAAACACAGAAGACAGAAGGGGUGGGUGACCUCACUGACUUGGAGAGAGUAAGGAAGAAGCAAAGCAAAGGCAGGACUCGCAGGAGGAAGAGCGAGCGACGGUGCCGGUGCGGCGCAGCGGCUGUCGUCUGAG